RNAcentral lists this ribosomal RNA (765 nucleotides) under uncultured Streptococcus sp. RNAcentral's name for it is "bacterial SSU rRNA". It matches the Rfam family "Bacterial small subunit ribosomal RNA", at positions 28 to 776 of the family's 1533-position model. Lineage: Bacteria; Bacillati; Bacillota; Bacilli; Lactobacillales; Streptococcaceae. The record is from RNAcentral.
GACGAACGCUGGCGGCGUGCCUAAUACAUGCAAGUAGAACGCUGAAGAGAGGAGCUUGCUCUUCUUGGAUGAGUUGCGAACGGGUGAGUAACGCGUAGGUAACCUGCCUUGUAGCGGGGGAUAACUAUUGGAAACGAUAGCUAAUACCGCAUAACAAUGGAUGACCCAUGUCAUUUAUUUGAAAGGGGCAAAUGCUCCACUACAAGAUGGACCUGCGUUGUAUUAGCUAGUAGGUGAGGUAACGGCUCACCUAGGCGACGAUACAUAGCCGACCUGAGAGGGUGAUCGGCCACACUGGGACUGAGGCACGGCCCAGACUCCUACGGGAGGCAGCAGUAGGGAAUCUUCGGCAAUGGGGGCAACCCUGACCGAGCAACGCCGCGUGAGUGAAGAAGGUUUUCGGAUCGUAAAGCUCUGUUGUAAGUCAAGAACGAGUGUGAGAGUGGAAAGUUCACACUGUGACGGUAGCUUACCAGAAAGGGACGGCUAACUACGUGCCAGCAGCCGCGGUAAUACGUAGGUCCCGAGCGUUGUCCGGAUUUAUUGGGCGUAAAGCGAGCGCAGGCGGUUUGAUAAGUCUGAAGUUAAAGGCUGUGGCUCAACCAUAGUUCGCUUUGGAAACUGUCAAACUUGAGUGCAGAAGGGGAGAGUGGAAUUCCAUGUGUAGCGGUGAAAUGCGUAGAUAUAUGGAGGAACACCGGUGGCGAAAGCGGCUCUCUGGUCUGUAACUGACGCUGAGGCUCGAAAGCGUGGGGAGCGAACAGG